This 3972-nucleotide long non-coding RNA is filed under the name Brassica rapa (field mustard). Its description in RNAcentral is "long non-coding RNA (BRAP_LNC004377)". Lineage: Eukaryota; Viridiplantae; Streptophyta; Magnoliopsida; Brassicales; Brassicaceae. The record is from RNAcentral.
CUAGUUCUUAAAACUUAGAUCUCACCUUUGAAUGAAUAUAUUGAAUGAAAAAAAAAACAUGUGCUAGUUUAUUGACGACUCACCUAUUUAAAAAUAUUAAUUCACAAAAAAACUAUUUAGAAUAUUUUAAUCUCAAACAGUUCGGUACUAUUUCUUCAAAAAAUUAUACUCACGUUUUUUGUCACCUUGUUUUAUAACAGUCUAAUGGGGAAAAAUACGGGUAACAAACUUAAGUAAUUGAGAUGCAACAAAGACGCAGUUUGACACUUAAAACCAAAAACCCAUUUUUAAUCAGGUCAGCAAGUGCAUGAUCUUCAUCUCCACGUGUCUAGUGAUCACUAGACAAGUUACAUAACACGUGCAUGAACACGAACCUGUCAUGCAUCUUUGUCUUAUAUGUCACAACUAAGCUUGGAUUCUCAACAUAACUCUGAUACUUGUUGAAGCUACUCCUUUAUGUUCGCCUUCAUCACUCAUCUUCAACUUUGUCGACCAUCCAAACGGAAUGCCUCCACGUCUCCGGCAUAAUUACAAUUCGGAGAUCUUCCACCCCACUAAGGACUGACGUCUCAAGCAGAAGCAAAAUUAUCCAAUCAAAGAUAGUGUUUGAUCCAAAAAUGGUGUUUAUGUUGAAAUGUUUGUUGAAUCAAUACAAUAAAAGAAUCUAAAAAUAAGAGAUUAGAUUCUUGAGGUUUAAGAGAAAUCUUCAAAGAAUCAAAUGAGAAAUGAACAUCAAAAAGAAUUUAUAGAUCAAAGAUUGUAUUACAAGAGUGAUCAAAUAAAUCUAAAUCUAUAAACUCUUUGUAAAAAGUGUUCUAGGUCUAAAAUAGAGAAGAAGAGAUCCUUUCAUAAAGAGAGGUAUCUCUUUAUUUAUACAAGGAAGAAGCUAGGGCUUCAUAGUAAAAUGGGCCUAAUUUAUUGUCUACUGGGCCUUGAGAGAGAAUGUAAAUCCACCCCAACAUUAAGUCCCCCAAGUUCGUAGAGAGAGAUGAAGUCGAUCUCUGUGAAUUUUACGAAUAGGGUUUAUUAGACAAUAAACUAGACACAUUCAUACCUAUGAUGGUUUAGGCGAGUUUACUUCGAACUUGUGCCUAGUAAAAGGCGAGUUUGCUUUAAACUCGUGCUUAGUGAAAGAAGAGUUUACUUCACUCAUGCUGAGAUAGAGGCGAAUUUACUGAGAACUCAUGCCUAGUAGAAGGAGAGUUUCUGUAAACUCAUGCCUAGUCAAAGAUGAGUUUUUGUAAACUCGUGUCUAACAAUAAGUGAGUCUAAUGCAAAUUUGUGCCUAAUAAAACGCAAGUUGAAUUUAAACUCGUGCCUAGUAAAAAAUAAGUUUACCGAACUAUUGCCGAUCCGAAGUCUCGUGUUGAGAUCGUGUGCGCCGAGCAAGUUGUUGGCUUGUGCCGCUUGUACGGCUUGUGGUAAGCUCUUCAUGAGAAUCAGAAUCUGGACUUGUCAUUUGUGGCGCAAUGACAAGAGACUGAUCCGAGCAUGUCACAUGUCUUUGAUGAUGAGUGGCCAGUGGUCAUGAGUUGUUGGAGAUGAAAGUUUUUUUUCUUCUCUUUUUUUUUUAUAACAGCUCCAAGCUCUGAUUCAGUCUCCUAAAGGAGUAGAAGAAAAAUAGAGAACGUGGCCAGUGCAGUGAAACACAACCGAGAUGGCAAGCUUGUGAUGAACAGCCUUUGUUGCCGAGAGAGGCUUCGUUGUUACGUCGAGAUGACCAUGACGAGAAGGCUUCUUGGAGAGAUGAUCCGACGAUUAGGUCAUAUCUCAAGUGCUGUUCCUUCUUAACGAGAAGCUUGUGCUCAUUGUGGCAAGCAUAUGGAAGUUUGCGACGAGAUGAUAGGCUGUUGGUCGUGUCCUCAAGAUCAUGAUGUCGUUUCUGCUUGGUUAUUGCCUUCGAGUCCAGUGUGAGAAGUUCUCCACGAGUUUUGCCAUGAAAGAACCGUCACAAUCAAAUUGCCAUGAUUAGUUGCUCGCCGCUUUCACUGAGGUUGAGCUAUGUCUAUGCAGUGGCAACGUCGCUGCUGAGCUGAAGAACAAGCAUGCUCUGUGCCGCUACUGAUGUUGAUGCGACAUGUGAGGACUGAGGAUAACGAGAUAGCCGAGGCCAAGUAUUGAGCUCCGACGAGAACGAAACGCAUGGACUGCCGAGAAUGGUUUUGACGAGAUGCCUUUGCCGAGGUCCAAGCUUAACGAGAUCAGAGCAUCUUUGGCCUGAAGAAGAAACAAGCGUCUGAGGUAGAGAUCAAGCGACAGUAGAGAUCGAACUGUUUCAGAAACGAUCUUUUGAUGAGCUCUUGCCACGGUUGCGGCAGGCUUGUGCUCUCUUUCCGUUAGGAGUCUUUGCAAACAAAAUGAUGAGAGGACGAGCUCUUGUGAUGAGAUGGUUCUUGCCUGGAUCAAGUCUUGAGCUUUGAUGAGGAGAAUCACCAUGUUUGCUGAGAUUCAUCAUUGGGCAGGUCAGCAUUAUCUUGUUCGGUGAUGGGCUCUGUGUAUCACAGAACAAGCCAGCAAAGAGAAGCAAGAGAUUCCAACAAACAAAGGUGGAGCUUGAGUGACAGGGGAGUCGCAGGGAGGAACACGACAGUGAGAUUCCAGAAACAACAGUCAUUCAGACUGGAGCAGAGAUGUUGAGCAGAGGAGGUGACUUGUAAACAGGAGAAGUCACCGGUCAUGGUGGAGCUCAGCCAUGAGAGCUUCUUGAAGAACAUGUCUCAGGUUGAAGUGGUUGCAGGUAGUGCCGUGAUGCAAUCAAAGUAGCAAGCUUUACGAGACUCAUCUUCUCCCUAUCGUGGUCGGUGAGCUUCUUUGCCUCAAGUGUGGAAUCUGUAACCUGAGGUUUGCGAGGAGUAACAAAACGAGCAAAUACUUGAUCUUGGUCGCAGAAACAAACUGCUCAGGUGAUGAUAGAAGCUCUCUGAAUCAAUUCGUCGAACAAGACGCGUGCUUGAUUCUAAAUCGAGAAUUCUCGCGGCGUCUCUCUUCAUCUCCUUCAACACGUUCAGAGAAACUCCUGAGGAAUCUCAGAGCUGUUGAUCUGUCUAUCAAUGGCGUCCAAGCGGUUUUGUUGGUGAGAGGAGAGGUAGUGAACUGAGUUGAGAUCUCGGUUCUCCGUCGCGAGCUCCAAAGCUGAGAACUUUCGAGUUCACGACUGCCGUUGAGGUAGUGAACGACCUCUCUCUUUUCUCCUUCCGCCACAGGCUGGCUCGUCGUUGGCGGAGAUCGAACGGAACUCGACGAACUCGACCGAUGCGGGAAAGCAGCGACAGCCCCAUCGACGUCGUCUGUGUUCGAUUCCCUCUUUUUCAGAGUCGUCGUCGGUCACGACUCCUAAAGUCAGAAAUAAUUUUUUUUUAUAUUAUUUCCAUUCCUUUUCAAAGAUAAACGUAUGUAUCUUAUUAUGCCAAGAUUAUGAAUCGAAUUUUAAUAAUGAGGUGAGAUUGUGAAACUUAUCUUUUUCAAAGAUGAUUUCAAUACUCGAUCAAACUGCCGACGAAGUGCUUGAUGAUAGUCCCAUCCCCAACAAAAACAAAGCUUUAUGAAAGCUUCAUCUUUUAGCUUGAGAUGAAGUUAGAUCUAGGAUUUUCCCAAGGUUGAUAUGCUUUAAAGAUAGUUCUCCUUGCCCCCUCCUUCUAGUGCUAACUGUUUGUUCCAAAAAUGGUGUUUAUGUUGAAAUGUUUGUUGAAUCAAUACAAUAAAAGAAUCUAAAAAUAAAAGAUUAGAUUCUUGAGGUUUAGGAGAAAUCAUCAAAGAAUCAAAUGAGAAAUGAACAUCAAAAAGAAUUUAUAGAUCAAAGAUUGUAUUACAAGAGUGAUCAAAUAAAUCUAAAUCUAUAAAUUCUUUGUAAAAAUUCUAAGUCUAAAAUGGAGAAGAAGAGAUCCUUUCAUAAAGAGAGGUAUCUCUUUAUUUAUACAAGGAAGAAGCUAGGGCUUCAUAGUAAAAUGGGCCUAAUUUAUUGUCUACUGGGCC